Molecule: long non-coding RNA, 177 nt
Organism: Myotis davidii
Lineage: Eukaryota; Metazoa; Chordata; Mammalia; Chiroptera; Vespertilionidae
Exons: 4
Source: RefSeq, a predicted model, not a curated record
AGAGGGGGCGAAAAAUCACGGCCAUCGCUCGGGUGUCUCAACUCAGAACGUGGUGUCUCAUUUCAGGGACCAGCGAUGUGGGCCCCUCGGGACUGAUGGAAGGCUCCGGGGUCGGCCUCCAAAAGGAAGACGGUGGCAUGAUGGCUCUAGGUGAUCCGGGCCCGGGGGCUGAGAAGC